Molecule: ribosomal RNA, 490 nt
Filed under: uncultured bacterium
Lineage: Bacteria
Description: partial 16S ribosomal RNA
Rfam family: Bacterial small subunit ribosomal RNA
Source: RNAcentral
AGUGAACGCUGGCGGUAGGCCUAACACAUGCAAGUCGAACGGCAGCACAGUAAGCGCUUGCUCUUACGGGUGGCGAGUGGCAGACGGGUGAGGAAUACAUCGGAAUCUACUUUUUCGUGGGGGAUAACGUAGGGAAACUUACGCUAAUACCGCAUACGACCUACGGGUGAAAGCAGGGGAUCUUCGGACCUUGCGCGAUUGAAUGAGCCGAUGUCGGAUUAGCUAGUUGGCGGGGUAAAGGCCCACCAAGGCGACGAUCCGUAGCUGGUCUGAGAGGAUGAUCAGCCACAAUGGAACUGACACGGUCCAGACUCCUACGGGAGGCAGCAGUGGGGAAUAUUGGACAAUGGGCGCAAGCCUGAUCCAGCCAUACCGCGUGGGUGAAGAAGGCCUUCGGGUUGUAAAGCCCUUUUGUUGGGAAAGAAAAGCAGCAGGUUAAUACCCCGCUGUUCUGACGGUACCCAAAGAAUAAGCACCGGCUAACUUCGUG